UACGUAGGGUGCGAGCGUUGUCCGGAAUUAUUGGGCGUAAAGGGCUCGUAGGCGGUUUGUCGCGUCGGGAGUGAAAAUCCAGGGCUUAACUCUGGACUGGCUUCCGAUACGGGCAGACUAGAGGUAUGCAGGGGGAGAACGGAAUUCCUGGUGUAGCGGUGAAAUGCGCAGAUAUCAGGAGGAACACCGGUGGCGAAGGCGGUUCUCUGGGCAUUACCUGACGCUGAGGAGCGAAAGUGUGGGGAGCGAACAGG
RNAcentral lists this ribosomal RNA (254 nucleotides) under uncultured bacterium. RNAcentral describes it as "partial 16S ribosomal RNA". It matches the Rfam family "Bacterial small subunit ribosomal RNA", at positions 524 to 776 of the family's 1533-position model. The record is from RNAcentral.